AAAAAACAUACAAGUUCAUCCUCCUUAGUAGACAUAGAGCAAGCGCCGAGGUUGUGCACAUACAUACCUUUCCCGCCACGAUCGCUCUUCCUGUUCCUGGAGUUCCGGGAAGACGUCUCUGCAGUUUCUUCCUUCUCCCAAUGAGCUAUCAACUGCUCCCACACCGUCCCGUUGAUGAACCGUGGCUUCUUGUUCUUCUGCCAAACUGUCU
This 211-nucleotide long non-coding RNA is filed under the name Brassica napus (rape). RNAcentral's name for it is "long non-coding RNA (BNAP_LNC019740)". The record is from RNAcentral. Lineage: Eukaryota; Viridiplantae; Streptophyta; Magnoliopsida; Brassicales; Brassicaceae.